GACGAACGCUGGCGGCGUGCUUAACACAUGCAAGUCGAACGGAAAGGCCCUUCGGGGUUCUCGAGUGGCGAACGGGUUAGUAACACGUUGGUGAUCUGCUCUGCACUUUGUGAUAAGCCUGGGAAACUGGGUCUAAUACCGAAUAGGACCACCCGCCUCACUGCGUGUGGUGGCAAGCUUUUUCGGUGUCGUAUGGGCGCGCGUGCUACCAGCUUGUUUGUGGGGUAAUGGCCUACCAAGGCCACGACGGGUAACCGGCCUGAGAGGGUGAACGGCCACACUGGGACUGAGGGACGGCCCAGACUCCAACGGGAGGCAGCAGUGGGGAAUAUUGCACAAUGGGCGCAAGCCUGAUGAAGAGACGCCGCGUGAGGGAAGACGGCCUGCGGGUUAUAAACCUCUUUCAAUAGGGACGAAGCGCAAGUGACGGUACCUAUAGAAGAAGCACCGGCCAACUACGUG
Molecule: ribosomal RNA, 462 nt
Filed under: uncultured bacterium
Lineage: Bacteria
Description: partial 16S ribosomal RNA
Rfam family: Bacterial small subunit ribosomal RNA
Source: RNAcentral